CAGAUAUAUUGGUUAAGUAAUGUGGUAUUUCUUUUGUUUCCCUUCAGAAGUAAUUGAUAUGCUGCCCUGUCAUGAAGAACCGAGAUUCUCAGUAGAACCAAACAAAAUGGAGAAACUAAAGUCAUUAGAUUGUGGCCAUGCUGGGGCACUGCCUUGAAGAAGUUUUAGGCGAAUAAAUCAACCCCAGUACCUUUUUCUUUUAUUCUUUUACUUAUUUCAGUCAUUUGACUGUGGCCAUGUUGGAGCACCACCUUUUAGUCGAAGAAAUUGACCCCAGGAUUUAAAAGCCUAGUACUUAUUCUAUCUGUCUCUUUUGCUGAACCACUAGCUUACAAGGACAUAAACACACCAACAUCAGUUGUCAAGUGAUGCUGGGGGGACAAACACAGACACAAAGACACAUACAUAAAUAUAUAUAUAUAAUUG
Molecule: long non-coding RNA, 426 nt
Organism: Octopus bimaculoides (California two-spot octopus)
Lineage: Eukaryota; Metazoa; Mollusca; Cephalopoda; Octopoda; Octopodidae
Source: RefSeq, a predicted model, not a curated record